Long non-coding RNA from Peromyscus leucopus (white-footed mouse), 3875 nucleotides. RefSeq lists it as uncharacterized. The record is from RefSeq and is a predicted model, not a curated record. The transcript is spliced from 8 exons. NCBI's taxonomy places the organism in Eukaryota, Metazoa, Chordata, Mammalia, Rodentia, Cricetidae.
GUGGGAGCGGGGUGGGGGAGAUGCACACCCCACGUCUCGCUGCCCCGAGCCCCGGACCGCAAGCUGGGUGUUUGUCGGGGGCGUCCCCACCCCCAUCCCCGAGGCCGGGUGCGGCACCGCUCUCUCUCUGCCCGCCAGCCGCUCGCUCCUGCAUUAAAAUUUCAUGGGCGCUGCAGUAAAUGCGAAGACGACGCCGGCUGCGCUGGGGGGCCGUAGGGAGGGAGGCUGCGGACCAGUGCGGGGAGGAGUUUACGAGGGGAGGCGCUUGCAGGGGCUCCCCCAGUUCUGUUGAGAGCCGGGCACAAAGAGCCCUCUGCACUCCAGCCGCAGGAGCGAGGAGCCGAGAGCUAGGUGCACAUGGGCGUGGGGACCCAGUACACACCAACCCACAGGUUAGCAGACCUGGGGCGUCCAGUGCAGCUUCAAACCGAAUGCAUCUCCGCACCCUCAUUGCGACAUCGCUCUCGAUGGUGACUACACAUCCUCGGGGAGGCACCGCUUUGGCACCACAGCCCCGCCAGGUGGGUCCCACUCUGCUGACCAGGAUGGCUUGGAGCUCACAGAGGUCCAUCUGCUUCUGCCUCCCAAGAGCUGGGAUUAAAGGCGUGCGUCUGCACCUCCAUACCUGGCUGUGAGGCCUGUCUGUUCACAUGCACAUGGCUGCCGGGUCUCGGUGGCACCUGGGGAUGAAGCAAGUUUUCAUCUGCGUGGAUGCAGGUGGCAGAGGCCAAAAGCUGCAUCCACUUGGCUCUGUCUUGACGCUCACGGGGACUGAGCCUUCCGAACCUCAAGAGUUCCUGCUGGUUCCCAGGUCGCAGAAGAGAGUAGGGGAUUGGGAAGGGCCACAGCCACCCUGCGAAGCAGCCUUGCAGAUAAGUAUCCCUUCACCAGCCCCCUCUGCACCAGCCUGCUUUCUGCUGGUGCACCUGUGAAGGGGGGUUGGCGCUGGAACCCCCAAGAGGGAGGGUGGAUGUCCUGUGUAUGACUCUGGCUCUUGAGGGUGGCAUUUGUAAACUUGGACAGGCUCCUUGGUCUUGCAGACACACGGAGACCUUCUGCAGGGUUUCCCACGGGACACACUGUCUCCACUCAGCUCCAGGCUCCCGAGACAGCCGGCUCUAAGAGCGUGCUACGAGGUGCCUCCCCUUCCCUGACUCAGGCUCUGGGGGACAGAUGUAGUAUAAUUGACAGGAAAGAGCAAAUCUGAGUGCUGGGUUGAGAUUCGGGGCAUCGCCUCCAUCCUGGUGACUUACAGGUGGCCUGGCUGAGCCCUGUACCUCCCGCCCUCUGGCUCCAGACAUGUUCUCUCUGCUGUGGGAGUCACGAAAGGGUGGGGACUGAGAUGAGAAGAGCUGCUUUCUUUUCCAAGCCACUGCCUUGAAUGGCCCUUGUGUGACAGGUCAGGAUGUGUCCCUGGGUCCAGACAGAGGCAUAGGCUUCCAGUGACCUCAGCAGUACUGAGGUCAGAGCUCCAGACCCCUACUCUGCCAGGACUUCCCUCUCGGCUGUCCCUAAGCUGCCCAGCUUGCUCUGAGUUUUCCUGGGUCACGAAGGAAACCACCAUGUGCCCAUGUUUGUGAAGGAUGCUCUGGGUAGCAGGGAAGGAGGAGGAGGCAGGGUGGCUUUUGGGCCAAAGCAGGGCUUGGGUGUGGUCCUCUCCUGUGCCGGGGUUGGCUCUUCUGUCUUCCAGAGUCAUCCUGUGAUGUCUGUGUGUGGGAGGAGCUAGGAGCUAGGCCUGCGAUGAUGAUGUCAGGAGAUGCUGGGUGUCCAGAGGUGAAUGACAGAGACAUGGUGCUACCCUCUGAGGUCUUCAAGUAAGAAAACGCAUCACCACAGCUCAGCGAGGGGAUAGUUCUGCGUGUCUCCAGACCUUGGUCUGCUUUGGAGCCCUGGGGAUCUCCUGGAUUCUGACCUCAUGGAACUGGGGAACAACCUGUCUCCCUGAAGAUCCUGUCCUUGCCAGUGCCAGAGAUGGAGCCCCCUGGAGAAGAGCCACACCUUGAAGAUAACACUGCUUAGCAUCCACCCUGUUUUUGAUGGACAGAUGCAGGAUGGCAGAGGCUGCAGUGUAGAGUCCUGGGGCAUUGGAGGCCCCUCCUGAUCCCUUGUGGACUGGAAUCCUCCUCCAGUGUCUGGAGGAGGGGUGGGGCCCCACCUGAGCCCCUUCCUAAGGACCUGUGGGUAGGGCAGGGACUCCAUGGGCAUGGAGGAGGAGGAGCUGCUGGGGAGGAGCCCGAUGUCUGUCUUUUGUCUGUUUUUCUUCUUUCGGUCUGUGUGCUGCUUGAGUGAUGUUUCUGUCUGGGGCUUCCUGGGUGAGGCUUAGCUCCUGGUUGGUUGUGGUGGACAGCCAAUCCUGGCCUGGGAGGAGCCUGGCUAGCCUUUGUGCAGUCCAGCACAGCAGGGGACCCUGGGAAGAGAAAGGGGGAGUCCCGAGAUGAGGAGACCCAGUCGGGAGGCUUACUGGCAGACUCACAGCUCCAACUUCCUCAGUCACUAGAGAGUGGGCUGCCCCAGUCCGCAGGGGCUGUGGACAGAGCCUUUGCCUGGGACACGGGGCUGCUCAGCCAGCACCCCCAUUCGUGUUGAGUAUCUGUGGAGGGGCUGGGACUGGCAGACAUCUGCACCCCUGCUCUGGGUGAAGUGCCCCAGGAUGACCCCCCCCCCCGCCCCGUCCAUUGUCCGCUUUUGGUCACAGUCCCUCCUAGAGGAGAUGGUUUUUCAGUGUGUGGCCUUCUUUGGUACAGCCUAGAAAGCCCUUUCCCUGGCGCAGGAAGGGUUGUGUAUUUAUCAGCUCAGACUGUGGGACUCAGCACCAGAGACUCACGCCCCCCCCCCCCUUCACCUCCCCUGGGCUUGAGGCCAGCAGAUCAAGAUCAAGGCGCCAGAAGUAGCUUUAUGUUGCGUGGCUUUUCUCUGCAUCCAGAGUGAGUGGGCUCCAGGGAUUUGUCCCACAAGGGCACAGUCUUGUCAUCCAGGCUUAUGACCUCAUCGGGGCGUAGGUACACCCUUGAUGGUCUUGUCUCUUCCAUACCUUCCCAUAGCGGCUGGGGAGUUCAGCCUGUGCGUGCCUCUUGGGGGACACAAUUGGACUCUUUAACGGGGUGGUCCCACAAACAUGAACAGCUAGAGCUAUCUGUCCUCCAGAAUUGCCCACGCAGGGAGGAGCAGAUGAAUGUAAAAUGGGUACAGAGUUGCAGGUGCUGCGCCAGGGAACUCGGGAACAUGGUGGCUGCAGCCCGUGCAGCGCCAGCUCAGGCCCUGGGGCACCCUCUGCUGUCCAAGUCACCUUGAUUUCUACUUUGUCGUGUGGGCCGUCUGCUCUUCUGGGGGCCCCCGGCAGCUUUCACAGGGCUCCUGUGCCUGGCUCAGUCCUGGGCUCUUAGUCCACGUGGAAAUUUAGGGAGGUUAGGGUGAGCGUGCAUCUAGGUAGGGUGCUUACUGAUCCAGGGGCGUUCCUGGCUGGGCCACCCUUGCCUGCCUUCCUGACAAGCCGGGGGCUGCGGCCGCCAUUGGCCUCUGUGGUAGCUUGUCAUGUUUUCCGGAAGAGAAGGAGUCAUGUUUCCUGCUGCCAAUAUGGAGUCCACUCUGGCUCUUGGCUGGGAGCCAGUUUGGGAACCUGGUGCAGUCCAGCCAUCCUUCAGACACUUGGGAUUUCCUAGCCAGCAGGGAGGGAAACAUUACCUAGGAAGAAGUACACAACGGGCAGUCAGCAGAGGCCCCGGAGUGCGUGCGAGGGAGAACCCAGUUCUGGCUUUCCGGAGGGGCUUCCUAGUCAGGCUGACCCAGCCGGGGCCUUGGGGGAUGAGAAAGGUACAGUGUAACUGAGUGCUUUGGGGAGGAAAUUAAAGCAAAAAGCAGGACGUUUUCAGAGCCCC